RNAcentral lists this ribosomal RNA (460 nucleotides) under uncultured bacterium. RNAcentral describes it as "bacterial SSU rRNA". It matches the Rfam family "Bacterial small subunit ribosomal RNA", at positions 28 to 507 of the family's 1533-position model. The record is from RNAcentral.
GAUGAACGCUAGCGGGAGGCCUAAUACAUGCAAGUCGAACGGUAAGGUCCCUUCGGGGAUACACGAGUGGCGGACGGGUGCGUAACGCGUACGAAACAUACCUUCAACAGGGAGAUACCUCCGGGAAACUGGAAAUAAUACCCCAUAGUAUUGAGAUAUCGCAUGAUAUUUCAAUUAAAGCUUUGGCGGUUGAAGAUUGUCGUGCGUCUGAUUAGCUAGUUGGUGAGGUAACGGCUCACCAAGGCGACGAUCAGUAGCUGGUCUGAGAGGAUGAUCAGCCACACUGGAACUGAGACACGGUCCAGACUCCUACGGGUGGCAGCAGUAGGGAAUAUUGGACAAUGGGCGCAAGCCUGAUCCAGCCAUGCCGCGUGAGUGAUGAAGGCCCUAGGGUUGUAAAGCUCUUUCACCGGUGAAGAUAAUGACGGUAACCGGAGAAGAAGCCCCGGCUAACUUCGUG